RNAcentral lists this ribosomal RNA (447 nucleotides) under Triticum aestivum (bread wheat). RNAcentral describes it as "partial small subunit ribosomal RNA". Lineage: Eukaryota; Viridiplantae; Streptophyta; Magnoliopsida; Poales; Poaceae. The record is from RNAcentral.
CUUCCUUGCUGCAAUUCUCCUAACCAAAGAGAUAUAUAAUAUAACCACACUAACAUUUACGCUCCCUCCUCGCGCGCUCUCAAGCAACAAUUCCUUGAUGAAUUAUUACUUAUUGCCCAACCAGAUAACUCACCCUGGCUUCUCGUUGGUGACUUCAACCUCCUCCGGUUCCCCUCAGACAAAAACAACGCGGCUUUUAGACAGACAGAGGCCAACGCCUUUAACCAAACUAUUGAUGAUCUGGCACUCAUCGAACUACCGCUUCUCGACCGACAAUUCACAUGGUCAAACAAUAGAAACACCCCCACCCUCGAACGCAUUGACCACGCCUUCUUCAAUCUAGCUUGGGCAAAUGCCUUCCCCAACUCCUCCCUCACAUCUCUCACGCGUUUCACGUCAGAUCACGUUCCCCUCAUCAUCAACAUCACCACAAUAAUCCCGCGCUAA